Molecule: long non-coding RNA, 413 nt
Filed under: Citrus sinensis (sweet orange)
Lineage: Eukaryota; Viridiplantae; Streptophyta; Magnoliopsida; Sapindales; Rutaceae
Description: long non-coding RNA (CSIN_LNC005434)
Source: RNAcentral
GUAAAGUUUUAAAUUGGCUUUAAUACAGCUUUAAUGCUUUAUUGGAGAGAAAAUACCGAAGCAGUCAUCUUCAUUUUCAUCACCAAGAGAAAUAAAAGGUUCUUCAUCUCCUGAAGUGCUUGAAGAGGAAGUUGCAACAGAUGUCUCUGACCUUGUGGCGAAAAGUUGAUGCAUAACAUUGAAGUAUUCAUCUUCAGUCUUGGCGCUGGCAAGGAGAGACUGGGCUUUUGUUUUUUGGCUCAAGAAAGUUUGGUGGGCUUUGGAUUGUUUAAUGGUCGGUUGAAGAAAUCCUUUGGCAGAGAGCCAAUUUCGGACCAAAUUGUCAGUCAAUUUUGACUGUUCGUCAAAUUUUGACCACCAUUUUACUUUAAAGGUUCUUUGAAGGAUAAUUUGGGCAUCUUGAGUGUGGUAAU